Molecule: ribosomal RNA, 255 nt
Filed under: uncultured bacterium
Lineage: Bacteria
Description: partial 16S ribosomal RNA
Rfam family: Bacterial small subunit ribosomal RNA
Source: RNAcentral
CGGACGGGUGAGUAACGCGUGGAAAACCUGCCGUAUACUGGGGGAUAACACUUAGAAAUAGGUGCUAAUACCGCAUAAGCGCACAGCUUCGCAUGAAGCGGUGUGAAAAACUCUGGUGGUAUACGAUGGUUCCGCGUCUGAUUAGCUAGUUGGUGGGGUAAUGGCCUACCAAGGCAACGAUCAGUAGCCGGCCUGAGAGGGUGAACGGCCACAUUGGGACUGAGACACGGCCCAAACUCCUACGGAAGGCAGCAG